RNAcentral lists this ribosomal RNA (253 nucleotides) under uncultured bacterium. Its description in RNAcentral is "partial 16S ribosomal RNA". It matches the Rfam family "Bacterial small subunit ribosomal RNA", at positions 524 to 776 of the family's 1533-position model. The record is from RNAcentral.
UACGGAGGGUGCGAGCGUUGUCCGGAAUCACUGGGCGUAAAGGGCGCGUAGGUGGCGUGGUCAGCGUGCGGUGAAAGCCCGGGGCUCAACUCCGGGUCGGCCGUGCGAACUGCCAUGCUUGAGCACGGUAGGGGCCAAUGGAAUUCCGGGUGUAGCGGUGGAAUGCGUAGAGAUCCGGAAGAACACCGGUGGCGAAGGCGGUUGGCUGGGCCGUUGCUGACACUGAGGCGCGACAGCGUGGGGAGCAAACAGG